CCCUUAGAUGUUCUGGGCCGCACGCGCGCUACACUGAUGCAUUCAACGAGUCUAAAACCUGGUCUGAUAGGGCUGGGUAAUCUUUUGAAUGUGCAUCGUGAUUGGGAUAGAUGAUUGCAAUUCUUCAUCUUCAACGAGGAAUGCCUAGUAAACGCAAGUCAUCAGCUUGCAUUGAUUACGUCCCUGCCCUUUGUACACACCGCCCGUCGCUCCUACCGAUUGAAUGUUCCGAUGAAUACCAUGGACUGAGAGUAUGAAUGGGUUCACCUAUUUCUGCUUCUCGGGAAGUGGAGUAAAUCUUAACAUUUAGAGGAAGGAGAAGUCGUAACA
Molecule: ribosomal RNA, 330 nt
Filed under: uncultured eukaryote
Lineage: Eukaryota
Description: partial 18S ribosomal RNA
Rfam family: Eukaryotic small subunit ribosomal RNA
Source: RNAcentral